AUGGGUCAACGGAGGUGUCCAGGUCCGCUCCACUGGGCGGCUCGGAUGGCUGUAGCAGAGGCGAAGACAGGCGGGCCCGUGGGGUGGCUCCGGGCGAUUCAGAACAACGGCGGAAUAGAGCGCCUCGAGGCGAGGACGCAGGCUCGGACGAUGGACCAGUCCGAGUCGUGGCCGGCUAUGUUUAUAGAUACGAGCCGGCGGCCGCGGGUAAACCGGUGUUCGAGUACAGCAGCCAGUGCGCCCCGGCGGGUCAACGGCGCAGGUGAACUGGGCGGGUCCACGGAGAAGGCGAGCUACUGGCUCAGGGGUGCAGUCACAGCUACAGCACAAACAGGGAUCGCGUCGGCAUCAGGGUCCGAGUCCCUGCGGCCCGAUCCUCCUCCGGGUCGUGGCCAGCUCCUGUCGCGGCUCGAAGACCGAUGCAGCGAAGGAAGGUGUGGCAAAGGAGAGUCGGGGCCGGUGACAUGA
RNAcentral lists this ribosomal RNA (468 nucleotides) under Triticum aestivum (bread wheat). RNAcentral's name for it is "partial small subunit ribosomal RNA". The record is from RNAcentral. Lineage: Eukaryota; Viridiplantae; Streptophyta; Magnoliopsida; Poales; Poaceae.